UGAUACUUAGUUUAAAAUAAAACAAGUGAUUUCGACCCACUAAACUGUGACUUAAGCCCACAAGUAUCAA
Molecule: transfer RNA, 70 nt
Filed under: Platanista minor (Indus River dolphin)
Lineage: Eukaryota; Metazoa; Chordata; Mammalia; Artiodactyla; Platanistidae
Also listed under: 1 other name
Description: transfer RNA-Arg
Rfam family: tRNA
About the family: Transfer RNA (tRNA) molecules are approximately 80 nucleotides in length. Their secondary structure includes four short double-helical elements and three loops (D, anti-codon, and T loops). Further hydrogen bonds mediate the characteristic L-shaped molecular structure. tRNAs have two regions of fundamental functional importance: the anti-codon, which is responsible for specific mRNA codon recognition, and the 3' end, to which the tRNAs corresponding amino acid is attached (by aminoacyl-tRNA synthetases). tRNAs cope with the degeneracy of the genetic code in two manners: having more than one tRNA (with a specific anti-codon) for a particular amino acid; and 'wobble' base-pairing, i.e. permitting non-standard base-pairing at the 3rd anti-codon position.
Source: RNAcentral